RNAcentral lists this ribosomal RNA (692 nucleotides) under uncultured Bacilli bacterium. RNAcentral's name for it is "bacterial SSU rRNA". It matches the Rfam family "Bacterial small subunit ribosomal RNA", at positions 64 to 728 of the family's 1533-position model. Lineage: Bacteria; Bacillati; Bacillota; Bacilli. The record is from RNAcentral.
GAGCGGAACUAACAGAUUACUUCGGUAAUGACGUUAGGAAAGCGAGCGGCGGAUGGGUGAGUAACACGUGGGGAACCUGCCCCAUAGUCUGGGAUACCACUUGGAAACAGGUGCUAAUACCGGAUAAGAAAGCAGAUCGCAUGAUCAGCUUUUAAAAGGCGGCGUAAGCUGUCGCUAUGGGAUGGCCCCGCGGUGCAUUAGCUAGUUGGUAAGGUAAAGGCUUACCAAGGCGAUGAUGCAUAGCCGAGUUGAGAGACUGAUCGGCCACAUUGGGACUGAGACACGACCCAAACUCCUACGGGAGGCAGCAGUAGGGAAUCUUCCACAAUGGACGCAAGUCUGAUGGAGCAACGCCGCGUGAGUGAAGAAGGUUUUCGGAUCGUAAAGCUCUGUUGUUGGUGAAGAAGGAUAGAGGUAGUAACUGGCCUUUAUUUGACGGUAAUCAACCAGAAAGUCACGGCUAACUACGUGCCAGCAGCCGCGGUAAUACGUAGGUGGCAAGCGUUGUCCGGAUUUAUUGGGCGUAAAGCGAGCGCAGGCGGAAGAAUAAGUCUGAUGUGAAAGCCCUCGGCUUAACCGAGGAACUGCAUCGGAAACUGUUUUUCUUGAGUGCAGAAGAGGAGAGUGGAACUCCAUGUGUAGCGGUGGAAUGCGUAGAUAUAUGGAAGAACACCAGUGGCGAAGGCGGCUCU